UGAGGGAUAUUGGUCAAUGGGCGCAAGCCUGAACCAGCGACGCCGCGUGGGUGAAGAAGGUCUUCGGAUCGUAAAGCCCUUUUCCCACUGAAGAGGAAGGACGGUAGGUGGGGAAGAAGUCUCGGCUAACUACGUGCCAGCAGCCGCGGUAAAACGUAGGAGACAAGCGUUAUCCGGAGUUACUGGGCGUAAAGGGCGUGCAGGUGGCGUCUUAAGUCUGUUGUGAAAGCGCCUGGCUUAACCGGGCGAGGCCAAUGGAGACUGAGAGGCUGGAGGACGGCGGAGGGGUGUGGAAUUCCGGGUGUAGUGGUGAAAUGCGUAGAGAUCCGGAGGAACACCAGAGGCGAAGGCGGCACUCUAAGCCGUACCUGACACUGAGACGCGACAGCACGGGGAGC
This 398-nucleotide ribosomal RNA is filed under the name uncultured bacterium. RNAcentral describes it as "bacterial SSU rRNA". It matches the Rfam family "Bacterial small subunit ribosomal RNA", at positions 355 to 769 of the family's 1533-position model. The record is from RNAcentral.